AGUGAACGCUGGCGGUAGGCCUAACACAUGCAAGUCGAACGGCAGCACAGUAAGAGCUUGCUCUUACGGGUGGCGAGUGGCGGACGGGUGAGGAAUACAUCGGAAUCUACUUUUUCGUGGGGGAUAACGUAGGGAAACUUACGCUAAUACCGCAUACGACCUACGGGUGAAAGCAGGGGAUCUUCGGACCUUUCGCGAUUGAAUGAGCCGAUGUCGGAUUAGCUAGUUGGCGGGGUAAAGGCCCACCAAGGCGACGAUCCGUAGCUGGUCUGAGAGGAUGAUCAGCCACACUGGAACUGAGAAACGGUCCAGACUCCUACGGGAGGCAGCAGUGGGGAAUAUUGGACAAUGGGCGCAAGCCUGAUCCAGCCAUACCGCGUGGGUGAAGAAGGCCUUCGGGUUGUAAAGCCCUUUUGUUGGGAAAGAAAAGCAGCAGGUUAAUACCCCGCUGUUCUGACGGUACCCAAAGAAUAAGCACCGGCUAACUUCGUG
Molecule: ribosomal RNA, 492 nt
Filed under: uncultured bacterium
Lineage: Bacteria
Description: partial 16S ribosomal RNA
Rfam family: Bacterial small subunit ribosomal RNA
Source: RNAcentral